UAUUGGUCAAUGGGCGAGAGCCUGAACCAGCCAAGUCGCGUGAGGGAAGACGGUCCUAUGGAUUGUAAACCUCUUUUGCCGGGGAGCAGAGGUCCGGACGUGUCCGGGCCGGGAGAGUACCCGGAGAAAAAGCAUCGGCUAACUCCGUGCCAGCAGCCGCGGUAAUACGGAGGAUGCGAGCGUUAUCCGGAUUUAUUGGGUUUAAAGGGUGCGUAGGCGGGCAUUUAAGCCGGCGGUCAAAUGUCGGGGCUCAACCCCGGCCUGCCGUCGGAACUGGGUGCCUUGAGUGGGCGAGAAGUAUGCGGAAUGCGUGGUGUAGCGGUGAAAUGCAUAGAUAUCACGCAGAACCCCGAUUGCGAAGGCAGCAUACCGGCGCCCUACUGACGCUGAGGCACGAAAGUGCGGGUAUCG
RNAcentral lists this ribosomal RNA (411 nucleotides) under uncultured bacterium. RNAcentral describes it as "bacterial SSU rRNA". It matches the Rfam family "Bacterial small subunit ribosomal RNA", at positions 362 to 770 of the family's 1533-position model. The record is from RNAcentral.